RNAcentral lists this ribosomal RNA (253 nucleotides) under uncultured bacterium. RNAcentral's name for it is "partial 16S ribosomal RNA". It matches the Rfam family "Bacterial small subunit ribosomal RNA", at positions 524 to 776 of the family's 1533-position model. The record is from RNAcentral.
UACGUAGGGGGCAAGCGUUGUCCGGAUUUAUUGGGCGUAAAGAGCGUGUAGGCGGCCAUACAGGUCCGUUGUGAAAACUGGAGGCUUAACCUCCAGACGUCGAUGGAAACCGUAUGGCUAGAGUCCGGAAGAGGAGAGUGGAAUUCCUGGUGUAGCGGUGAAAUGCGCAGAUAUCAGGAAGAACACCGGUGGCGAAGGCGGUGAUCUGGGCCGACACUGACGCUGUAGAGCGAAAGCGUGGGGAGCGAACAGG